This is a non-coding RNA of Schizosaccharomyces pombe (fission yeast), 507 nucleotides long. The record is from the annotation of a GenBank genome assembly. Lineage: Eukaryota; Fungi; Ascomycota; Schizosaccharomycetes; Schizosaccharomycetales; Schizosaccharomycetaceae.
AUUAUUGCUAACCCUAAGAAUCAAGUUAAAAUCAAAAAUCCGUCAACCAGAAUACAUUAGCAAACAUGUUCCGUAUACAAAACUUCGUUUGGUUUAAGGAUUUUCAGCACUUGCUGUCAUCCAAACAAAAAAUUUCCGAGCCACAUUAAAAUUGGAACCUUUUUAAAGCAUUCAAAAUGUUUUCGCCAACUGCUUAUUUUGACUAACAGUAAUUCUCAUAUACAAUCUCGUUUACAUAGGAUUGCUUAAACGACCAACCAACUGUGGGUACUUUUCAGUCAAGGCAAUUUGCGUACGAGUAGCCUCAGCAUAUGAAAACGCAUUCACCAUUUCACUUUCAGUACGAGCCAGUUGUGCAGAUUUCUCGAAAUAUUCAAGGGCUUCACGAGCUUUACCUUGUUGCAAUAGGAAUUGAGCCAUACUGGCAAUUGCAAUAUCACAUUCGGGAUCAGCCGAUAGAGCCUGUCGACAAAGAUUUUCAGCUUGAGAUAUAUCUUUCUUCCAUUG